RNAcentral lists this ribosomal RNA (170 nucleotides) under Vigna umbellata (rice bean). Its description in RNAcentral is "partial small subunit ribosomal RNA". It matches the Rfam family "Eukaryotic small subunit ribosomal RNA", at positions 1665 to 1830 of the family's 1831-position model. Lineage: Eukaryota; Viridiplantae; Streptophyta; Magnoliopsida; Fabales; Fabaceae. The record is from RNAcentral.
CACACCGCCCGUCGCUCCUACCGAUUGAAUGGUCCGGUGAAGUGUUCGGAUUGCGGCGACGUGGGCGGUUCGCUGCCCGCGACGUGGUGAAAAGUCUACUGAACCUUAUCAUUUAGAGGAAGGAGAAGUCGUAACAAGGUUUCCGUAGGUGAACCUGCGGAAGGAUCAUU